GCCGCCGGCCCGGCCCCGCCCACCCGCCCUGGCCGCGCGGAUCUUCCGGCUUCGCAGGCUGGGGCGGCCCCGGGCUUUGAACUCCUCCUUCUGCGGGCGGGAGCAACCAGAGUUACCGGAGUAGUCCAGUUCUGAGAUGGAGUGAUUUUUCCAUCCUCAGAUCACCAAAACUCCACAGGAAAGGGGAAGUUGCAGGACCAUGUACUGAGGCAUCUUCUGCUGCUUUCCCAGGCGCCUAAGCAAAGAGGCCGACUGGAGGAGGAGCAGCUGGGAUCUUCCCACGUGGGAUGCUGGCACCACAACGAAUGGUUUGUCUUGCUGUGCC
Long non-coding RNA from Ochotona princeps (American pika), 325 nucleotides. RefSeq lists it as uncharacterized. NCBI's taxonomy places the organism in Eukaryota, Metazoa, Chordata, Mammalia, Lagomorpha, Ochotonidae. The transcript has 3 exons. The record is from RefSeq and is a predicted model, not a curated record.